AAAGCGUGGAGCUUAACUCCAUCAUGGCAGUGGAAACUGAAAGGCUUGAGUAUGGUAGGGGCAGAGGGAAUUCCCGGUGUAGCGGUGAAAUGCGUAGAUAUCGGGAAGAACACCAGUGGCGAAGGCGCUCUGCUGGGCCAUUACUGACGCUCAUGGACGAAAGCCAGGGGAGCG
This 174-nucleotide ribosomal RNA is filed under the name uncultured bacterium. RNAcentral's name for it is "partial 16S ribosomal RNA". It matches the Rfam family "Bacterial small subunit ribosomal RNA", at positions 597 to 770 of the family's 1533-position model. The record is from RNAcentral.